This 70-nucleotide non-coding RNA is filed under the name Aeromonas salmonicida. Lineage: Bacteria; Pseudomonadati; Pseudomonadota; Gammaproteobacteria; Aeromonadales; Aeromonadaceae. The record is from RNAcentral. RNAcentral also lists the same sequence under 1 other name.
AUGCGAAACAGGGCGGCCCUGCCGCCUUGUCUGCCCGGCGUGGUGGCCGGGUACUGAUGAGCAGCCGGAG